This 76-nucleotide transfer RNA is filed under the name Lepidodactylus lugubris. Its description in RNAcentral is "tRNA-Leu". It matches the Rfam family "tRNA". From Rfam's summary of the family: Transfer RNA (tRNA) molecules are approximately 80 nucleotides in length. Their secondary structure includes four short double-helical elements and three loops (D, anti-codon, and T loops). Lineage: Eukaryota; Metazoa; Chordata; Lepidosauria; Squamata; Gekkonidae. The record is from RNAcentral.
UUUAGGGUGGCAGAGACAGGUUUUAAUGCACAAGGCCUAAGCCCUUGAUCCAGGGGCUCAAAUCCCCUCCCUAAAA